RNAcentral lists this ribosomal RNA (402 nucleotides) under uncultured bacterium. Its description in RNAcentral is "bacterial SSU rRNA". It matches the Rfam family "Bacterial small subunit ribosomal RNA", at positions 36 to 436 of the family's 1533-position model. The record is from RNAcentral.
CUGGCGGGAAACCUCAAUACAUGCAAGUCGAACGGAGACAGUACCAAUAUUGUCUUAGUGGCGAACGGGUGAGUAACGCGUUGGUGACCUGCCUCGAAGAGAGGGAUAACAGUUCGAAAGGAUUGCUAAUACCUCAUGUGGUUGUUUGGGUUAGAGACCUUACAACUAAACGGAUUUAUUCUCUUCGAGAGGGGCCUGCGUCCCAUCAGCUAGUUGGUAGGGUAAUGGCCUACCAAGGCGAUGACGGGUAGGGGACCUGAGAGGGUGGCCCCCCACAAUGGAACUGAAACACGGUCCAUACACCUACGGGUGGCAGCAGUAGGGAAUAUUGGUUAAUCUGGGAAACCGGGAACCAGCAACGCCGCGUGUGCGAUGAAGGCCUUCGGGUUGUUAAAGCACUUU